This 1933-nucleotide long non-coding RNA is filed under the name Equus caballus (horse). RNAcentral's name for it is "lncRNA (ENSECAG00000055896.1)". The record is from RNAcentral. Lineage: Eukaryota; Metazoa; Chordata; Mammalia; Perissodactyla; Equidae.
CCAACAGAAAUGUGUACUUAGGAGCACCAAAAGACGUGUGCUAAAAUGGUCAAGAGAGCACUAGUCAUAAUAGUUCCAAACUGGAAAACUACACAAAGAUCUUCAACAGUAGAAUGGAUAAAUUUUAGUAUACCUACAAUGGAUUACUUACAGCAGUGAGAACGAUCUAUGACUACAUACUACGAUGUAGAGUGGGAAAGACCAAAAGACCAAGUGUCACCACUUCUCUUGAAUGUCAAGAAAACUCAAAUCUGCUAGAAACAAAAGUGGAAUAGCAAGACCUCCGUUCUCUUUCCCUCCUCCCAAUCAGUUUCUCUACUGCAUUGUGCCAGGAAACAUGAAACCCCAGCAGGGACUCCAGAUGACAGCUCUCAGCAGGACACCUCGCCAAUCACUCUUAAGAUUGGUACUGACCUUUAGAAUUUUCCCCCACGAACAGUGCCCCCCUCCCCCAACUUCUUUCUGUCAGCAGCAGUACGUAGACCUAGCAGCAGCAAUUUCCACAAGCUUUUUGUAUUAGAAAUGAUAACUAGGGUGAGCAUAUAAUUUAUUGUCCAAACUGGAACAUCUUUUUUAAAUGUAGGCACUGGGAGAGUUUUUAAAGUUUUUAUUUUGAGAUAACUGUAUAUGCACAUGCAGCUGUAUGAAAUAAUACAGAGAGAUCCCUGAUACUGCUUACCCACUUUCCCCCAGUAGUAACAUAUUGCAAAACUGUAGUAGAAUAUCACAACCAGGAAACUGACAUUGUUGCAAUCCACUUACCUUAUUCAGAUUUCACUAGUUUUACAUGCAUUCCUUUGUGUGUGUGCAUCUUGCUCUAUGCAAUUUUAUCACAUGUGUAGAAUACUGUGACCACCACCACAGUCAAAAUACAGAAGAGUUCCAUCACAAAGAUCCCUUGUAUUGCCCUUUUAUAACCACUCUCACCUCCUCCCGGCCCUGCCUCCCCCUGCCCCAACCAGGCCCUGGCAACCACUAAUCUGUUCUCCAUCUCUACAAUUUUGUCAUUUCAAAACUUUUAUAUGAAUGGAAUAAUACAGGAUAUAACCUGUUGGGAUUGUCUUUGGUUUUUUUUUUAACUCAGAAUAAUUUCCUUGAGAUCCAGUCAACUUGUUGCAAGUAUUAGUAGUUGCUUUUUAUACCAUUCCAUGGUAUGGAUACACCACAUUUUGUUUAUCCAUUCAACAGUUGAUGGACAUUGUGUUUUUUCCAGUUUGGGGCUAUUAUGAAUAAAGAUGCUAUGACCAUUUGAGUACAAGUUUUGUGUGGGCAUGAGUCUUUAUUUCUUUGGGAUAAAUGCCCAAGAAUGUACUAUCUAGGUUGUAUAGUAAGCACAAGUUUAGUUUUUAAAGAAACCACCAUACUCUUUUCCAGAGUGGCUGUAUCAGUUUACUUUCCCACUAGCAAUGUAUGAGUGAGCCAUCUCCUCUGCAUCAUUGCCAAAAUUUGAUGUUAUCACUAUUUUUUAUUUUAACCAUUCUAAUAAAUGUGUAGUGAUAUGCUGCAUAAUCCUGCUCACAGCAACAAUUGUUUUGUGAUUGUUCCAUGGAAAGCGGGAUCAACCUCCCACCCAAAUUUGGUUCAAAUGUUGAGACUGUUGACACCAAACACACACAGUAAGAGGGUAUGAAAAGAGGGAAUUAUUCACAUAACGGGACUUUUUUGGGGGGAAGCAAGUCAGGCACCCAAGCCAGUCUGUGAUGGCUUGAGUGAAGGGAGGGGCAAGCGGCUUUGGAUUUUACUAUGAUUAGGGAGUGGGGCCGGGAUGAGGAUUCCCAUGUGUGGGCAUGGAUUUUCAUGGUUUGACCUUCCCUGGAGGUGCCAAGGAGGGAGUACCCAGGCUUUCUUAUCAGCUUGCCCAGAUAGAGGGCAAAAGGGGAAGAAGGAGAGGUGGAACCUGGAUUUAGACACUUCAUUGUAAAUUGUUUUUGCA